Molecule: transfer RNA, 73 nt
Filed under: Gluconacetobacter aggeris
Lineage: Bacteria; Pseudomonadati; Pseudomonadota; Alphaproteobacteria; Acetobacterales; Acetobacteraceae
Description: tRNA-Ser
Source: RNAcentral
GUCCCGAAGGAGGGCAAGGUGAAGCCGCCCUCUCACGGCGGCAACAGGGGUUCGAAUCCCCUAUGGGACGCCA